GAUGAACGCUGGCGGCGUGCCUAAUACAUGCAAGUCGAGCGGACGGACCAGAAGCUUGCUUCUCUGUCGUUAGCGGCGGACGGGAGAGUAACACGUGUAUCACCUACCUAUCAUACUGAUAUAACUUCGGGAAAGCGGCUCUAAUACCGGAGGAGAUUUUGAACCGCAGUGGUCAAUAGUGAAAUACGGUGUUGCUGGCACUUAUAGCGGGAUCCCGGCUGCAUUGGCUAGUUGGUAAGGUAACGGCUUACCAAGGCAACGAUGCAUAGGCGACCGGAGGGGGUGGUCGCCGGCAUUGGAACUUAGCCACGCACCUGACUCCUACGGGAGGGCGCAGUCGCCAACGUGACGCAAUGGGCGAAAGCCUUACGGAGUAACGGCACGUCAGUGAUGAAGAUCCUGCGAUCGUAAAACCCUGUUACGAGUGAAGAACCUAUUUGGAAUGAAACGAGCACAUAUUGACGGUAACUAAUAAAAAAGCAACGGCUAACUACGUG
RNAcentral lists this ribosomal RNA (497 nucleotides) under uncultured bacterium. RNAcentral's name for it is "partial 16S ribosomal RNA". It matches the Rfam family "Bacterial small subunit ribosomal RNA", at positions 28 to 507 of the family's 1533-position model. The record is from RNAcentral.